CCUAUUUAAAAAGUUUAUUUAUAAAUGAUCGCGUAUUCAAAGCCUGAAUUUAACUAACGCUUUACAUAUCAUUCCAGUUUUACGUAUAUUUAAUUAUUUAAAUUUCUUUCCUUUGAUGCUCUUUCAUAUUCUAAUUUUUGAAUUCUAUCAGUAGAAUUCUACAGUCUGCAUUUAACUUGAAGAUUUUCAAAAUGAUAGAUUUAACUGAAAAUAAAGGCAAUAAACAAGAAAAUCAAUAUCUUAAAUCGGAGAGCCAAAUAUAUGAUUCAGACGAACAACCUGACUUUUCACAUAGGAUUAUUGAAAAUAUAAUUAAAAAGAUAAAAAAUUACAAAAAAUUAAGUUAUAAAGCAAUAAUCUUCUUGAGAGUUCUUGAGUGCUGCCAGGGACACUGGAACUAAUUCUGAGAUGACUGAGCCAUGCGGGAGAGGAAUGAACUUAGGCCUGCUGUAACACCCAGCAAAUGUUGGAAGAAAUAGGUUCCCUGUAUAGUUGUAGAAGGGAAUUGGUGACAUCUCAUUGUGUUGUUUGUGAGCCACUAGACGAAGGACCCACUGGAAUUUCUUGCUCAGCUUAGCCUUUAUUGCUCCUGCAAAGCCCAAGGCAACAGUGUAUAGUUUUCCAAGAUGGUCAUAGAAAGACACCAAGUCACAGAAUUUGGAGAAGUGUAGAUGGGUAGUCUCGUACAACUUAAGUUCAACU
Molecule: unclassified non-coding RNA, 702 nt
Filed under: Centruroides sculpturatus (bark scorpion)
Lineage: Eukaryota; Metazoa; Arthropoda; Arachnida; Scorpiones; Buthidae
Description: uncharacterized LOC111638362, transcript variant X4
Source: RNAcentral